AGUGAACGCUGGCGGUAGGCCUAACACAUGCAAGUCGAACGGCAGCACAGUAAGAGCUUGCUCUUACGGGUGGCGAGUGGCGGACGGGUGAGGAAUACAUCUGAAUCUACUUUUUCGUGGGGGAUAACGUAGGGAAACUUACGCUAAUACCGCAUACGACCUACGGGUGAAAGCAGGGGAUCUUCGGACCUUGCGCGAUUGAAUGAGCCGAUGUCGGAUUAGCUAGUUGGCGGGGUAAAGGCCCACCAAGGCGGCGAUCCGUAGCUGGUGUGAGAGGAUGAUCGGCCACACUGGAGCUGGGACACGGUCCAGACGCCUACGGGAGGCAGCAGUGGGGAAUAUUGGACAAUGGGCGCAAGCCUGAUCCAGCCAUACCGCGUGGGUGAAGAAGGCCUUCGGGUUGUAAAGCCCUUUUGUUGGGAAAGAAAAGCAGCAGGUUAAUACCCCGCUGUUCUGACGGUACCCAAAGAAUAAGCACCGGCUAACUUCGUG
RNAcentral lists this ribosomal RNA (492 nucleotides) under uncultured bacterium. Its description in RNAcentral is "partial 16S ribosomal RNA". It matches the Rfam family "Bacterial small subunit ribosomal RNA", at positions 29 to 507 of the family's 1533-position model. The record is from RNAcentral.